Molecule: ribosomal RNA, 492 nt
Filed under: uncultured bacterium
Lineage: Bacteria
Description: partial 16S ribosomal RNA
Rfam family: Bacterial small subunit ribosomal RNA
Source: RNAcentral
AGUGAACGCUGGCGGUAGGCCUAACACAUGCAAGUCGAACGGCAGCACAGUAAGAGCUUGCUCUUACGGGUGGCGAGUGGCGGACGGGUGAGGAAUACAUCGGAAUCUACUUUUUCGUGGGGGAUAACGUAGGGAAACUUACGCUAAUACCGCAUACGACCUACGGGUGAAAGCAGGGGAUCUUCGGACCUUGCGCGAUUGAAUGAGCCGAUGUCGGAUUAGCUAGUUGGCGGGGUAAAGGCCCACCAAGGCGACGAUCCGUAGCUGGUCUGAGAGGAUGGUCGGCCACACUGGAGCUGAGACACGGUCCAGACUCCUACGAGAGGCAGCAGUGGGGAAUAUUGGACAAUGGGCGCAAGCCUGAUCCAGCCAUACCGCGUGGGUGAAGAAGGCCUUCGGGUUGUAAAGCCCUUUUGUUGGGAAAGAAAAGCAGCAGGUUAAUACCACGCUGUUCUGACGGUACCCAAAGAAUAAGCACCGGCUAACUUCGUG